GAUGAAGAACGUAGCGAAAUGCGAUAAGUAAUGUGAAUUGCAGAAUUCAGUGAAUCAUCGAAUCUUUGAACGCACAUUGCGGCCGCCAGUAUUCUGGCGGGCAUGCCUGUCCGAGCGUCAUUUCAACCCUCAAGCCCCCGGGCUUGGUGUUGGAGAUCGGCGAGCCCCCCGGGGCGCGCCGUCUCCCAAAUAUAGUGGCGGUCCCGCUGUAGCUUCCUCUGCGUAGUAGCACACCUCGCACUGGGAAACAGCGUGGCCACGCCGUAAAACCCCCCACUUCUGAAAGGUUGACCUCGGAUCAGGUAGGAAUACCCGCUGAACUUAAGCAUAUCAAUAAGCGGAGGA
RNAcentral lists this unclassified non-coding RNA (345 nucleotides) under soil metagenome. RNAcentral describes it as "partial contains 5.8S ribosomal RNA, internal transcribed spacer 2, and large subunit ribosomal RNA". The stretch from base 1 to 120 matches the Rfam family "5.8S ribosomal RNA", at positions 35 to 154 of the family's 154-position model. The record is from RNAcentral.